Molecule: long non-coding RNA, 2352 nt
Organism: Clupea harengus (Atlantic herring)
Lineage: Eukaryota; Metazoa; Chordata; Actinopteri; Clupeiformes; Clupeidae
Source: Ensembl
AGCUUAAACUCUGAAACUCGUCAUCUCUGUCCCAUUUCGGGGUAUUUUCUGGUCUGCAGAGCGUGCCUGUCCCUUAUAGAGUCACAAAGAGUCCCAGUGAUGUGGAGAAGUGGCAGUCUUCCUCUGGCUUUGAAGUUGGUGAUAAAUGUUUAAUAUGCGGCAGAACAGAGUGAAUUGUGGGAAUAUUCCCUGAGGAGUCUUCACAAAGCGGUGUCAUUUUUCUUGAUGACAAGCACGACAGCGCCAUUUGCUUAUCUCCAGCCGAGGAGCUCCUCCUGACGAACCAGCUCCACUACGAGAGGAGAGGAGAUGAGAGGAGAGAGGAGAGCCUUCAAGAGAUUCCUCCUGUCCUCCUUCCUCCUCUCCUCCCUCCUCUUCUCCUGUACUGCCUCUUUCCUCCAUCUCUUUCCCCUCUGCCUGUUUCCUCCUUUCCUCCAUCUCUUUCCCCUUUGCCUCUUUCUUUUCCUCCACCUCUUUCCCCUCUGCCUGCUUCCUCCUCCUCUCCUCCACCUCUUUCCUCUCCUCCUCUCCUCCAUCUCAAUCCCCUCUGCCUGCUUCCUCCUCCUCUGCCGUCUCUGUCUGUGAAUCUCCUACAUGUCACAGUUCCUCCUUUGUCAUGGUUUUAAAUUGACAUUUAUACACAUUUUUCUGCUGGCUGUUGGCAGCUAUAUUUAAUUUCCCAGCUUCUGACUUUAACUUGUCUAGCCAAAUCUAAACACCGUGGUACUGCCCUGACUCUCAGAGUGAGUGUGUGUGUGUGUGUGUGUGUGUGCCCUGACUCUCAGAGUGUGUGUGUGUGUGUGUGUGUGUGUGUGUGUGUGUGUGUGUGUGUGUGUGUGUGUGUGUGUGUGUGUGUGUGUGUGUGUGUGUGUGGGUGUACGGUCUGAAUGGCAUUACAGUGGAAUAGGAGCGGGAGGAGGAGGGAAGAAGGGAGGGAUGGAAAAAGUGGAGUAGGAGAAAUAAACAUGGGUUGUGUGUGUGUGUGUGUGUGUGUGUGUGUGUUCACGUGUGUAUGUGUGUGUGUUCACGUGUGUGUGUAUGUUCACGUGUGUGUGUGUAUGUGUGAGCGAGAGAGAGAGAAGCGUGUCCUUUGCUCCGGGCCGAUGACACCUUGCGAAAGCGUCUCAUUCAUCACAGGGGCUGGAGCUGGAGCAGAUUAGCGUGGAGGGGCUCAGCACUUACACACACACACACACACACACACACACUUUGAAGAAUUUAAUUGUAAAGGAAAAGGAUUUGAAUUCCCUGCAGCCAGGCUUGAUGGGCAGCCACCAGUCUGCCCCUGGCAUGGUUAGUAGAGCUGUCAUUAUAUACACACACACACACACACACACACACACACACACGUGAACCACACACACACACACACAUACACACACGUGAACCACACACACACACACGUGUACCACACAAACACACACUCACACACACGUGAACCACACACACACACACACGUGUACCACACAAACACACACUCGCACACACACACGUGUACCACACAAACACACCAACUCACACACACAUGAACCACACACACACUCAAACACCCAUGUGAACCGCACACACACACACGUACCACACUCUCACACACACAUACACACGUGUACCACACAAACACACACUCACACACACUCGUGAACCACACACACACACACGUGCAUCAAACCUAUUUAAACUGUAUGCAUAAAGAAACUCUUGAAGUGAAUUGAUCCCACCGUAGAAGCUUAAAGUUCACGUGACCUGAGGGUGGUGCUGGGAAUGUAGCUCUUAGGCAGCACCUUCUUUAUGCCUACACACACACACACACACACACAGACUACACUGUAGACUAGGCUCCACACCAGCCUGGCCAGUCUAGCAGUGUGAUCCAGCUCUGCCAGACUCCGCUGUAAGGGAAUGUUGUCUUUCCUAUCAGUUUACUGUCACUCUCUCUCUCACACACACACACACACACACACACACACACACACAGGUUCUACUUGAGUGUGUGUUUGUGUGAGAGAGAGAGGGUGAGAGAGUGGUGGGGACAGAGAGGUAGAGGAAUGAUGAGAGAAUGAUACAACAGGAUGAAGAGGAGGGAGAAAAAGGGAGAGAGAGAAAGAAGGGGAGAGUAAGGAAAAGAACAUAGAAAGUCAUAGAAAGUGUGAAUGUCUGUGAUGACACACACUCCUGAGCCCAAGAACACUGAGGUUUUUCAUCUCUACUUUAAAAACCAACUACACACACACUCUCUCUCUCUCACACACACUUCAAUCUAUUUUUCUAAGUUUAUGACUUCAACAUCAGUAGUUCUAGUUAUAUGGGGAUUCAACAAGCAUAUAGGACAUACAAAGGCUACUGGCUUGGGUG